AAGACCUUGCGCUUUUGGAGCGGCCGAUGUCUGAUUAGCUAGUUGGUGGGGUAAUGGCCUACCAAAGCUUCGAUCAGUAGCUGGUCUGAGAGGACGGCCAGCCACACUGGGACUGAGACACGGCCCAGACUCCUACGGGAGGCAGCAGUGGGGAAUUUUGGACAAUGGGCGCAAGCCUGAUCCAGCCAUGCCGCGUGAGUGAAGAAGGCCUUCGGGUUGUAAAGCUCUUUCAGCCGGGAAGAAAAGGCUGCGACUAAUAAUCGCAGUUCAUGACGGUACCGGAAGAAGAAGCACCGGCUAACUACGUGCCAGCAGCCGCGGUAAUACGUAGGGUGCGAGCGUUAAUCGGAAUUACUGGGCGUAAAGGGUGCGCAGGCGGUUUUGUAAGUCAGAUGUGAAAGCCCCGGGCUUAACCUGGGAACU
RNAcentral lists this ribosomal RNA (423 nucleotides) under uncultured bacterium. RNAcentral describes it as "bacterial SSU rRNA". It matches the Rfam family "Bacterial small subunit ribosomal RNA", at positions 207 to 622 of the family's 1533-position model. The record is from RNAcentral.